This 77-nucleotide transfer RNA is filed under the name Caldicoprobacter sp. RNAcentral describes it as "tRNA-Arg". It matches the Rfam family "tRNA". Rfam says of the family: Transfer RNA (tRNA) molecules are approximately 80 nucleotides in length. Their secondary structure includes four short double-helical elements and three loops (D, anti-codon, and T loops). The record is from RNAcentral. RNAcentral also lists the same sequence under 1 other name. Lineage: Bacteria; Bacillati; Bacillota; Clostridia; Caldicoprobacterales; Caldicoprobacteraceae.
GUGCCCGUAGCUCAGCUGGAUAGAGUGUCUGACUACGAAUCAGAAGGUCGGGGGUUCGAGUCCCUCCGGGCACGCCA